GUCCUACGGGGGGCAGCAGUGAGGAAUAUUGGUCAAUGGGAGAGAUCCUGAACCAGCCAAGCCGCGUGAGGGAAGACGGCCCUAUGGGUUGUAAACCUCUUUUGUCGGAGAACAAAACCCGGGACGUGUCCCGGACUGCGUGUAUCCGAAGAAAAAGCAUCGGCUAACUACGUGCCAGCAGCCGCGGUAAUACGUAGGGUGCAAGCGUUAUCCGGAUUUACUGGGUGUAAAGGGCGAGUAGACGGCGUUGCAAGUCAGAUGUGAAAGGCUAGGGCUCAACCUUAGGAGAGCAUCUGAAACUGUAA
Molecule: ribosomal RNA, 305 nt
Filed under: uncultured bacterium
Lineage: Bacteria
Description: bacterial SSU rRNA
Rfam family: Bacterial small subunit ribosomal RNA
Source: RNAcentral